This 497-nucleotide ribosomal RNA is filed under the name uncultured bacterium. RNAcentral's name for it is "partial 16S ribosomal RNA". It matches the Rfam family "Bacterial small subunit ribosomal RNA", at positions 28 to 507 of the family's 1533-position model. The record is from RNAcentral.
GAUGAACGCUGGCGGCGUGCCUAAUACAUGCAAGUCGAGCGAACGGACGGGAAGCUUGCUUCUCUGAUGUUAGCGGCGGACGGGUGAGUAACACGUGUAUAACCUACCUAUAAGACUGGGAUAACUUCGGGAAACCGGAUCUAAUACCGGAUAAUAUUUUGAACCGCAUGGUUCAAAAGUUAAAGACGGUCUUGCUGUCACUUAUAGAUGGAUACGCGCUGCAUUAGCUAGUUGGUAAGGUAACGGCUUACCAAGGCUACGAUGCAUAGCCGACCUGAGAGGGUGAUCGGCCACCCUGGAAGUGAGAAACGGUCCAGACUCCUACGGGAGGCAGCAGUAGGGAAUCUUACGCAAUGGGCGAAAGCCUGACGGAGCAAAGCCGCGGGAGUGAUGAAGGACUUCGGAUCGUAAAGCGCUGUUAUUAGGGAAGAACAUAUGUGUAAGUAACUGUGCACAUCUUGACGGUACCUAAUCAGAAAGCCACGGCUAACUACGUG